Molecule: ribosomal RNA, 465 nt
Filed under: uncultured Klebsiella sp.
Lineage: Bacteria; Pseudomonadati; Pseudomonadota; Gammaproteobacteria; Enterobacterales; Enterobacteriaceae
Description: bacterial SSU rRNA
Rfam family: Bacterial small subunit ribosomal RNA
Source: RNAcentral
CCUACGGGGGGCAGCAGUGGGGAAUAUUGCACAAUGGGCGCAAGCCUGAUGCAGCCAUGCCGCGUGUGUGAAGAAAGCCUUCGGGUUGUAAAGCACUUUCAGCGGGGAGGAAGGCGGUGAGGUUAAUAACCUCAUCGAUUGACGUUACCCGCAGAAGAAGCCCCGGCUAACGCCGGGCCAGCAGCCGCGGUAAUACGGAGGGUGCAAGCGUUAAUCGGAAUUACUGGGCGUAAAGCGCACGCAGGCGGUCUGUCAAGUCGGAUGUGAAAUCCCCGGGCUCAACCUGGGAACUGCAUUCGAAACUGGCAGGCUAGAGUCUUGUAGAGGGGGGUAGAAUUCCAGGUGUAGCGGUGAAAUGCGUAGAGAUCUGGAGGAAUACCGGUGGCGAAGGCGGCCCCCUGGACAAAGACUGACGCUCAGGUGCGAAAGCGUGGGGAGCAAACAGGAUUAGAUACCCGGGUAGUC